Mustela erminea (ermine) is the source of this 2725-nucleotide long non-coding RNA. RefSeq lists it as uncharacterized. NCBI's taxonomy places the organism in Eukaryota, Metazoa, Chordata, Mammalia, Carnivora, Mustelidae. The transcript has 3 exons. The record is from RefSeq and is a predicted model, not a curated record.
CCACUGAGCCACCCAGGCGCCCCUCAUUCCAAACUUGCUGUGUCUCCUGCACGGUCCAUCCUGCUGGCUUUCCCAGGACACUCUCCUCCCCCUUCUUCCCAGGUCUGCCCUCUUGCGGCCGUGGUCAGACUUGUGUGGACUGUUCUCCUUCGAAUGCCUGUAGUUUUGUACCACACAGCCCACGUCUGAGUUAUUUUUUAUUACGUUUUUGCUAUAGUUUCAUGUGUGUUGGUCUUUGUCAUUUAAGAAUGAUUGCAAAGCACCCAACGAUCUGGAUCAUGGUCUCGUACAUGCCCCUUUCUCCUGCCCAGGAACUAGCGCAGAGUCGAGACUGGCGCUUGUUCUGUGUCUCUGUCCACGCGGUCUGGAGCCUGCAGAGAUCAUCCCUUGUGAAAGGAACCCACACUGUCCACGUAUUUUAUACGCCUUUUGAUAGAAAAAUCUGAUGUUGGACUUUUAGGAAUAAUCAGACGGGAAGAGUGCGGCGUAGUGCCUGGUGCUGGAUCUUUUCUUCCCUUUCCUGCCAGGAGUGUUUGUCGGCGUCGAGUCUGGGCACCUCGGUUGUCAUCCAAAGGGCUUGGGCUUCGUCGCUUAGAAAGCACUAUUUUGUCUGCUCACUGAUUAGGUGAACUCGUGCUUGUGAGAAUGCGGAACGGUAUGGGCCUUGGCUGAUGCCCGUUAAGAAAAACUUGUAAACAUGUUAGUGACUAGCAGGGAGUAAUCACCUGAAUUAAUAGAUGCACCAUGUAAAGUUUUUAAGAAGUAGAAGCAAAGUAGUAAGAUAUUAAAAAACCCAUAUACGAUGGAAUCUUUUGUAAUCUCGCAAUAACUGACAGUUCAGUGGCCAUGUCAAUGCCCGGCCCAAGGACGCUAUACUGGGUACUGAAACCGUUUUCAAUAACAACUGCUUAUUCUGUGAGUCUAGUUUUGGAGCAAACAGUGAUUGUGUAUCGGGUGAGUGCCAGCUUGUAGAAGGCACUGGGUAGGCGCUUUGGGGGAUAUAAGGAUGAAUGAGGCCCUCGCUUUCGUCCUGAGGAACUUCCGUUACAGUAGAAAGAUAAGAUGUGUAUGUGAACGACCGUAAAUACGCUUCCUAAGGCUCAAACGAAGGGCAGGGGCUUUCAAAAUGCUGAAAAUAUCUUUCCCCGGGGAGGCUCGCGGGGAAUGUUAUUGAGCAGGUGGAAUUUGAAUUAUGUCUUUGACAAGAAAAUGUGAGAUUUUGAAGGAACAGAAAGAGGGCCUUCAAAGUUUAACGAGAAUUACCAUAAAUAACAAGGUACAUGGUGCGUAUCAUUGAUUCAGGUCUGGUGUAGUUAGGGGUUUAUGUGAGCCACAUUCAAAGUUGAUGCGUGACCCUGUUUUGGUUUGUUCCUGGAAAAACUGAACCAGCCGGUUACACACUCGCCGUAGAGUAUGUCUGGUGCUUCUCUGCUCCGCUCCCGGAAGGGGCCAGCCAGGGCACCCCAGGAUGUGGUGGCGGGUCCCGACUGCUUCCCUGAUUCCUACCCCCACCCUCACCCCUGUGAGUGACCAUUUGUGCUUGGCUCUCGACCCACCCUUGCUGGUACCUCACAAGAAGAAGGGAGUUACGGGUCUGUAGGUCAGUGCAGGGAGGGAGCUGGUGAGAAGGCCACCGUCUUCCUGAGUGGAUGGACUUUAUUUUGGCAAACCCGCGUGUGACAGGUUCUCUUCUCUCUUUCUCUCUCUCUUUUUAUAGCAUUUGCUCAAUAAACAGGACUCGCUAGACGUUUUGGUUUGCGUCAAUGUUACAUACUUUAAAAUCUGGAAGAGGAGGAAAGGGGACGACGGUGGAAGAUCUACAGUAAGCCGAGAUGGGUCACGGUUUUACACUGCUUCGAUCUUAAGCAUUUCCUUGUGCAAGUGAUAGACCAAGGUGCCGUGAAGGCUCUUCAGGGCUGUCCUGUCAGGAGCAGAGCUGGUGUUUUAUUCCUUCGGCCGGAAUUUCCCAGUUCUUCGUAGUCCACUAAAGGAUCGUUGCAAGUAGUAACAGGACUCCUUGGUUAUCCUGGCAUCGAUCUGUAACGAUGGCGGACUCGUGAGACUCCUGGGGACGGAGGGGAGUCUCUGAGGUUUGCUCCCCGUGUUGCGAAGUGAGAAAAUGUAACGAGAAAUGCCCUAACAAAGCUUGCAGCGAAUCGGAUUGUGUUUUUAAUUCGUCUCACGUGUCACUGCUUGAUGGAAGCGAAGACAGCUGUGUGGCAUUGAGUUACGAUCUCGUAGAUUCCAGUACUGGAUGGAGAUACACAUCCAAGUCCUUGAACACGUGUGGAACUUGCUGUUUAGCUCUGGAGCUAGUUCUGUAGAUGCGACUGUCCUUGCCGGCUAGGCUAGAACGCAUGGUCCCGGCGAAGUGACGUGUGGCCCUUCUGCUGGACCCGAGGUCAGUGGUUCUGAAACACUGCGUCCUUCUCGCCUCCUCUUUCCGGGAGAAUUUUAAGCCACGUGACUCCUUGUUCCGCACAGUCCGGGCCCAGCAGCAGCGCCAGUGCUGUUUCCUGACAGCCUCCCGGAGCCACAGACUCGCCUUUCCCCGGCCCUGGGAGCUGCCCCUCCCAGUGCGAGGAUGGCUCGGUAGCCAGGCUGAGUUCCAGUACCCCCAGAAAUGGUUUCCUCUGGUUCUGUGAAUACACACUUAUGGGCAGUUUUUAAUCUAGCACAUUUGUUUUCAUGACUGAUACGUUGUUUGGUUCUAAAAGGGAACAAC